GCCCCGGCGGCCCCGCGCCGCGCGCCCUCCCGCGCGCCCACCCGGGCCCCGCCCGCGCCCCGGACGGCGCCCCCGCCGGAGGGCCCAGGUAACCGGCCGCCCAGGGGGCCUCGGCGCCUCCAGCACCCGUCCCCCCAGAUCAUACAUAUAAUUUCCUGUGCGGCUCUCAGUAUCUCCAAGACCUAGGAUGCUCCUUGAGAGGUAUGAUACUAUUUUGAGUGUAUUCCUGCUUAUGUAAACGAGAGCUUUCUAGAAGAGAUAAUGGUUAUGAACACUGGCCCUUAACCAAGAAACAGAAGUUGAAUGAACUGCGGGAAGAUAAACUUCACUUUGCUGUGAUUUCAGAACUGAUAUCAGCAGGCAGUUGUCUAAAAACUAUAUUUGUUUUCCUAAUCUGCUACUUUUCACGACAAUUAUAUUUGGUAAGGAAAACAUUCUAUUGAAGAGAUGCAACAGAUUCAUCAUCCUCAUUUUUUUUUACCUGACUGUUUGCCUCGCUACAGUGGUGUCUUCCCUCUGUCACCCUCAGACUGCCCUCCCGUGACUAGCCCCUGAUACUUCAGUACCGUCCGUCCUCUUAGGCCUCAGGAUUCAACAGCUUCCUGUGCAGGAAGACUCCACCAUCCUCCGUUUUGAACACGAGCGUUUCCACGCAGCACCAUGAGCUGAAUUUUCUUUUGUCCCGUCACCUGAAGGCCUACCCUGUCUUCGUAUCCUGGCGUUUUCUUUGUUGCCUGGUUUGGAGACAGACCUUUCCUUCGUUGCUUUCUGGAGCUGACAGGCUCACCUUACCGCCAAUCCUGGGUGCAAGUUAUCAACUUAACACGAGUCAGUUAGGGUCUGUUAUUUGGGUGAAGCCUGCUGCCUGCAUUGAUUUUAUUGAAAUGCGAUUUGCUUUAAACAAGCUGAUAGCUAUGCAGAUGUUCAUAGUCACAAUGCACCAAGAUUACGUUACACUUAAGUUUAUAGUGGAUAAAAACCGACUGGAGAGGAAGAAAAUAGGAGGGCGUGCUGGUUUCUCUUGUCGUUCAGGACAGAUGCAUGUGACCACAGAAGAUAAUCUGAAGGAACACCAAUGUGAAGAGAAAAGUGAGAUGAAAAUGAAAUGAAGCUGUUAAGCCAGCACAUUAAUUCAAGUUGACUUCUCUAACUGGUGGGCCGGGGGAGUCUUAAGAGAAGCCAGAGAGAAGGAAUUCCAAUCUUCAAUACUCCAGCAUUCCCGGGUGAUGCUUUGGCUUGAGGUUAAAGAAGUCAGAGUGAACUGAGGGGAGAACAUAGACUUUGGGGACCCCUGAGUAGGUGAACACUGGUCUGACUUUGUGCAAAUGGAUGGAGACAUCUUGUCACUCCUUGAAUGUCCGUGUAAAACCCAUCUUCAGGAAGAACAAGCAGGGCUUUCUGCUGCAUAUCAGCAACGCCCCUAUGUAGUUAAACCUCACUGCUCCCAUUCAUCCCUAGAUUUUCUACCGCAUAAUAAGAACAUUUCUAAACUUUCAAAUACUGACUUCUUGUGAUGUCUAUAUUGGCCCAUACCGACAAGGAGGACCGGCAUAAGUAAAACGUAUAGCUGUGUCCUUUACUUGGAAGAUAAGAUUGUGGCAAUGGCCAAAUUAACACUAACAAGGUGCAUGUGAUGAGAACAUGCCCCCAUCCUUUAUCACAGCCCAGUGCAUACCUUGGAAAUACCUUACAUUUUAAAACAUACGGCAGAGUAUCCUUGGCUCAAAAUUUAAAAAACAAGCUUAAAGACAACCAGCUAAUUUUCUUACUAAUUGCCUAACUGUAACACUUAUGAUAUCAAUAGGCUUAGCAACUAUAGUACACCACUUCAGGUCACAUUUUAUAUGUAAAAAAAAAUAUUCGUUGACUAAAGUUGUUUUUUUCUAGGCCUGGUUAAUUGUUGCCAUCCUCUGUGUCUGUGAGCCCUUCGUGACUUACAUAACAAAUGUGAUUAAUCUGUGUGCCUAUUAAUUAAAAUGCCAUGUAUGUAGUCUCUUUGUUCAGGGAUUUCAAACUUUCUCUCUUCUAUAGGAUAGUUAAUAUAUAAAGUACAUUAAGGGAUUCGCAAUUACCAUUUAAAACUCAUUAUUGGCAGUGUUUAUCAGCAAUACAAUGAAGUUAUAAAGGCAUCUAUGUGCUUCUUUUACUAUCCAGCUUUGUGCAGUUGUCUGUAAAAACAAAUUCUCCAGAUUUAACAAGGAAAAUUUCAUUGCUAAUUAGAUUUAGAAAAGAGCCUGGAAACUAAUGGAAAAAAUGAAUUUAAUGGAGGGGGCAAUUAGUCCAAAACUAUCCAUAAAAUCUUUACUGCUACCAUGUAAGGUAUAGUUUUCAGUUUAAUUUUCUAUAAUGUUUGUUAAACAUUGCUUUCAAUAAUGUAUAAGUGAGUACAAAAGUAACUGGUGGGGAAAAGCAUGGAAUGGACUUCUCAUCUAUGUGGAAAGAGUGCCCUCAUAUUUGUGUAUAUUUUAGAGAAUUUACACUUAUUAUCCUGUAAUUUAAAGAUUUUUAUCAUAGUAUUUGGUAGAAAAGUCUAUAGUUUUGAAAUGAGUGGCACGGCACUUUGGCAGUAGAUGGCACUGUCGUCAUUUCCUAACAACGCGGCCGAGGCCCACAGGAGCUCGGGUUCCCUCCAAGAAGGGGACAGAAGCUACCAUCCAAGAAUCACUCUUGAAAGUCAUUAUUAAUUUGAAACGGCAUCAAAGUUUCAUUCUUCUGCCACUCUCAGUUUUAAAAGAACAAAAUUUCCCUCACACCUUUGCUAUUAUCUGCUCCAUUGGUGGAGCCUAGAAUUCUUUGGUGUGUAAUGAUUUUCUUUUACGUGAUUUUGGGGCUUUUGCUGGCACAACAGAACAAAGUCUUACAGAAAUGACACUGAGGAAAAUCUCUCUCUUCAGGAUAAGGAUAAUGAUACUCUUUAUUCAUCUUUGAUGUGUAUUAUCCGUUUUCAAUAGCAUUGCAUGUAUAACAUACCAGGGCCGUAAGGUCAGAGUCGACCCAGUUUUCAUUAGGAAGAUGAUCUGUAUUUACAUUUUGUUACAAAUUACUGAAAUUACCACCCACCAGCUUUUUCAUCAAUCUGAAAUCCAUUUACCGC
This 3094-nucleotide long non-coding RNA is filed under the name Equus caballus (horse). RNAcentral describes it as "lncRNA (ENSECAG00000039676.3)". Lineage: Eukaryota; Metazoa; Chordata; Mammalia; Perissodactyla; Equidae. The record is from RNAcentral.